UACGUAGGGCGCAAGCGUUGUCCGGAAUUAUUGGGCGUAAAGAGCUCGUAGGCGGCCAGUUGCGUCUGCUGUGAAAUCCCGGGGCUCAACCCCGGGCGUGCAGUGGAUACGGGCUGGCUAGAGGCAGGCAGGGGAGAACGGAAUUCCCGGUGUAGCGGUGAAAUGCGCAGAUAUCGGGAGGAACACCGGUGGCGAAAGCGGUUCUCUGGGCCUGUACUGACGCUGAGGAGCGAAAGCGUGGGGAGCGAACAGG
This 253-nucleotide ribosomal RNA is filed under the name uncultured bacterium. Its description in RNAcentral is "partial 16S ribosomal RNA". It matches the Rfam family "Bacterial small subunit ribosomal RNA", at positions 524 to 776 of the family's 1533-position model. The record is from RNAcentral.